GUGUGCUGUAUCGAUGAGUUUGACAAA
RNAcentral lists this non-coding RNA (27 nucleotides) under Cricetulus griseus (Chinese hamster). The record is from RNAcentral. Lineage: Eukaryota; Metazoa; Chordata; Mammalia; Rodentia; Cricetidae.